RNAcentral lists this ribosomal RNA (467 nucleotides) under uncultured bacterium. RNAcentral describes it as "partial 16S ribosomal RNA". It matches the Rfam family "Bacterial small subunit ribosomal RNA", at positions 28 to 507 of the family's 1533-position model. The record is from RNAcentral.
GACGAACGCUGGCGGCGUGCUUAACACAUGCAAGUCGAACGGAAAGGCCCUGCUUUUGUGGGGUGCUCGAGUGGCGAACGGGUGAGUAACACGUGAGUAACCUGCCCUUGACUUUGGGAUAACUUCAGGAAACUGGGGCUAAUACCGGAUAGGAGCUCCUGCUGCAUGGUGGGGGUUGGAAAGUUUCGGCGGUUGGGGAUGGACUCGCGGCUUAUCAGCUUGUUGGUGGGGUAGUGGCUUACCAAGGCUUUGACGGGUAGCCGGCCUGAGAGGGUGACCGGCCACAUGGGGACGGGGAGACGGCCCAGACUCCUACGGGGGGCAGCAGUGGGGAAUAUUGCACAAGGGGCGGAAGCCUGAUGCAGCAACGCCGCGUGCGGAUGACGGCCUUCGGGUUGUAAACCGCUUUCGCCUGUGACGAAGCGUGAGUGACGGUAAUGGGUAAAGAAGCACCGGCUAACUACGUG